GAUGAACGCUGGCGGCGUGCCCAAUACAUGCAAGUCGAGCGAAUGGAUUAAGAGCUUGCUCUUAUGAAGUUAGCGGCGGACGGGUGAGUAACACGUGGGUAACCUGCCCAUAAGACUGGGAUAACUCCGGGAAACCGGGGCUAAUACCGGAUAACAUUUUGAACCGCAUGGUUCGAAAUUGAAAGGCGGCUUCGGCUGUCACUUAUGGAUGGACCCGCGUCGCAUUAGCUAGUUGGUGAGGUAACGGCUCACCAAGGCAACGAUGCGUAGCCGACCUGAGAGGGUGAUCGGCCACACUGGGACUGAGACACGGCCCAGACUCCUACGGGAGGCAGCAGUAGGGAAUCUUCCGCAAUGGACGAAAGUCUGACGGAGCAACGCCGCGUGAGUGAUGAAGGCUUUCGGGCCGUAAAACUCUGUUGUUAGGGAAGAACAAGUGCUAGUUGAAUAAGCUGACACCUUGACGGUACCUAACCAGAAAGCCACGGCUAACUACGUGCCAGCCGCCGCGGUAA
RNAcentral lists this ribosomal RNA (515 nucleotides) under uncultured bacterium. RNAcentral's name for it is "partial 16S ribosomal RNA". It matches the Rfam family "Bacterial small subunit ribosomal RNA", at positions 28 to 523 of the family's 1533-position model. The record is from RNAcentral.